This 305-nucleotide ribosomal RNA is filed under the name uncultured bacterium. Its description in RNAcentral is "bacterial SSU rRNA". It matches the Rfam family "Bacterial small subunit ribosomal RNA", at positions 338 to 640 of the family's 1533-position model. The record is from RNAcentral.
CCUACGGGGGGCAGCAGUGAGGAAUAUUGGUCAAUGGGCGGAAGCCUGAACCAGCCAAGUCGCGUGAGGGAAUAAGGCCCUACGGGUCGUAAACCUCUUUUGCCGGGGAGCAAGGGCCGGGACGCGUCCCGGCCCGGAGAGUACCCGGCGAAACAGCAUCGGCUAACUCCGUGCCAGCAGCCGCGGUAAUACGGAGGAUGCGAGCGUUAUCCGGAUUUAUUGGGUUUAAAGGGUGCGUAGGCGGGCUUUUAAGUCAGCGGUAAAAAUUCGGGGCUCAACCCCGUCCGGCCGUUGAAACUGGGGGC